Molecule: long non-coding RNA, 3504 nt
Filed under: Nicotiana benthamiana
Lineage: Eukaryota; Viridiplantae; Streptophyta; Magnoliopsida; Solanales; Solanaceae
Description: long non-coding RNA (NBEN_LNC008244)
Source: RNAcentral
ACAGCUCUCCCUCUCCUCUUGCGUUUCCAAGCGCGGACAGCGCAUUGAACCAGACAUUUGGCCGCUUUUGCUCUAUCUGGAGUUGUGGAUACAAUUUCUACAGCCUCUUGGUUGGAGACUACAUCCCAUACCUGCAAAAAUGAAGUCUACUCUUUAGUUGUCAUCAAAGAAUAUACAGCUAAACAAGAUAACUCGAGCCUACGUAGUACAAUGUUCGUUUACUGUGGCCAACCCCCUUACUCUCAUUAGUUGUCAACAAAGAAUAUACAGUUAAAACAAGAUAACUCGAGCCUACGUAAUACAAUGUUCGUUUUGGCCAGGCCCUUAUGUUAAACUGAUAAAUCUCAAUCAAUUCUAUACAAUUUUUUAUCUUGGAGAAAUCUCCUGUGGGCUUCUUGUGCGACUUCACUGGGCACACACGAUCCAAACUCAGGCAACUAUAAGCACAUCCCUCUAUCAUUUUCCCAACUGAAUACCUGGUUUUGUCCGAAACACAGUUCAAACUCGUGAUGUGCGCCUAACCAACACAAAACAUGUGUUUCUUUUUUCUUUGAGAUAACCAAAGCCCUAGGAGCUAAAAACUGAUGAGCUUUUGACCAUAUGCUUACAGUUGUUGACCUACCUACUUUUUGUUCUAUGUGCCUAAUUAAGAAUAUGGUACUACUACUAAUGAUGAAGACAUGAUUGUCCUUGUUAGACUAAUUCUAAAAUUAGGAACCCAGAAGGCACAAACAUACCCCAUCAGUUGCCAACACAACAAAUUGAUCUUUGCCUGUGAUAUGCCUUUGAGUCACAUCAGGCACGGAAAUUAGACCAAAAUCUUUCACACAAUAGUCCCCGAAGGCUCUAGACAUCGCCAGUCCAGGGCAUUCUUCAUCUGGCAGCCAUAAUCGGUGCACCCCAGAUUCAUCAUCUAAGCAAAACACUCGACCAUUACACUGUGUUAUCCUCUCGGUUUCCUCUGCAAAACAUACAUUAAUAGCUUUUAUAUAUAUGGCUGUUUUGUGUCUAGUAGAGCAGAGAAAGAUAUAUAUAGAGGACUCACGAGAUAGAUUAGGCUUGAAAUCAAUAGUUAGCUGAACUGGUGCCAAGUUGCCAUCAUCACAAGUGGUAGCCAAUACAGCACGCGAGUCACCUACAUUUGCCAUAAAAAUUACCUCACCCUGCAACACAAUGAACACUAAUCUAAUUAGAGUUUAGCUUAUAUAUAUAGGCAUUACAAAUAAUUAAGCAGAUAUUCUUGAUCACAGAACUACGGACUGUGGAGUAUAUUUUGCUAUAUAGACACAAAAAGUUAUGAAUCUUUAUCUUCAUGCCCAUCAUUCAAAAACUUAAAAAAGAUAAAGUGAAAACAAAAAAGGAUGCUGUCUUUGCUAUUUUGAGGGAUAACACGCCAAAAAGUUUUAGAGAAAACAUCAUUUCGCUACCAGUUCCGUACUCAAAAACAGAAAGGGGUUAAAAAACUGUCAUACACUUGUCUUUAUUGGCAUUGCAAAAGAGCUCCCUUUACACAUUGAUAAUACAAUAAUUCAGUAUAUUUCUUACAUUGAGUCUCAGCUCUAACUAAUUUAGCAAGAGGGGCAUCCAAAAACACAGUAUGGAUUCACAAAACAAGGUCAAAAGCUUACACUUUACAAGGCCAAGUUGGUUAAAAAAGGAUAACCAUACAAGAAUUACCACACUAGUGAUUCCAAAAAGGAAGAGGAAAAAGAAAAACACUAAAGCUAAUGCAAUUACCUGUCUGACUAUUGUCAAAGCAGUGGUUCCACUGUAAAACGUAUCUAUCUUAGGAUGGUGUUCCAGCUCCUGAUCUACAGCUGCACAUGCCUUUAGGUAUGAGUCCUUCCAUAUAUUAAACCUUUGAAGUUUCUUAUCAGAAUCUAAAUCUAAAUCUGGAUCAACUGAAGCCUCCGCUAGACUCUCUUGCCAAUUGCAAAGCAACGAUGAUACUAUCGAUUCUCGAACCUUCUUUGCCACAAAAUGACCCCAUGGACCAUGCCCAUCAAAUAUACCGCAGAAUAUCAUAUCCUCUUGGCAUCCAAAUUCCUGCCAUCCCCACAAUGAACAAUAUGUUAGACAUAGUCUUGAGACAUAAUUAAGUAAAUAAAGGUAUACUUCAAUAUAGUUUCAGAACAUAGGUCCUGAGUUUGAAAAGCUACUGCUACAAUCAUAGAUAUCACAAUCGAAAAGAUUCACAGACUAGUAUAGAACAAAGAGGAGAUUUGGUAAUCAUAAUAGAGGAAGCAUACCUCCCAAACAAUGAAGCAAUCUUGAUUCACUCCUUUUUCACCUCUCCUAGAGAAUAAUGAAGCAAAAUUCUUAGAGCCAACAACAUUUACUGUCCCUGAAGACCUUAAUAUCAAGUCAUUUUUCUUGGCUUCUUUAGCCAUAGCUUCAACAGCUUCUUUACCAUCAUAUUUCCCAUUCCCAGUACAUCCAACAACAUUUACAGUCCCUGAAGACCUUAAUAUCAAGUCAUUUUUCUUGGCUUCUUUAGCCAUAGCUUCAACAGCUUCUCUACCAUCAUAUUUCCCAUUCCCAGUACAAUUCUUUCUUUUCUUCAAGGAAAAAGACCUUGCCAAUCCAUUAAACAUUGAAGAAAAAUGCUCCAUUUAGAGCUUAAUCCUUAGCUACUCAAAUAUGAAAUACCCCUGCAGCAGAAAGGCAAAAAAUUCUGUAACCCUCAAUUAGGCAUAUCAUAUUUAGUAAAAAAGUGAGUAAUAUACACAAACACUAUCACAUGAAGCCAAGUAAUUGGAUAUACUUAGCUGAGGUAAAAAGAUAUGUGAUCUGACUCAGAAAGUUAAGCAUCUGAAGGUUUUAAAGUACAGAAAUAUCCAAAAAUAAUGAAUCUGAAGAGGGAUUAAAGAACCUUUUAACAGUGCAAGAAAAGCAGAGAAUAUUCAAAUUCCAACUUGGAAUUCCAUCAGAAGAAAAGUGUCAGAAGAAUGAACAGACACCCAUCAAUCCACUAAAUCUAUAGAAUUCCAUACAUGGAAAUUUUUGCAUAAAAAGGACAAAGACAACUGCGUAACACUUUAAAAAGUUUCUCCUUUUUUUUUUUACAAUUUUCUCAAUUACCAAACAGAAUUAGAUAAGCAGAGGACUUAAAUAAUUCCUAUAACAACUAAAACCCAAAAAGCUAUGGAAAAAGUUAUCUUUUUUCUUCAUUUUAAUGGUAAACAGAGAAAAAGAAAUUUUCCCAGAAAUGAAUAAAACUUGAUUAACCUAACACCCGCAUGUUAUUUGAACUGACAAUAGGAAAGACCAUGUGAACCACCUCGGUUAAAGUUAUACUUCCGGUGGAAUAUGGUCGGAGAAAUGAGUGUUCAACUAGAACCACAGAGUUAUUGAGGAGACUGAAAAGCGGAAAAAGAUUGCCGGAAAAUGACGAAAUUCCGACGGGGUGAGCUAAGAUUUCGAGAGAAAGGAAGAGAAUCCAUUAGAAGAUUAUGUUGGUAGAUCCUUUUAAGGGAAAGAGAAGACAAGUUAAGAGGACUUUGG